CGCCUCAUUUAACAUAAGAAUGGGCACUGCCAGUCAGUGUCCAGAACUGACUAAUGUGGCGAAACUGACACACAGGUUAUGCUUCCAUCACAGUAGAUACGUUACAGUGGUGACAAUGAGACCUGUAACAUUU
This is a small nucleolar RNA of Mesocricetus auratus (golden hamster), 133 nucleotides long. Lineage: Eukaryota; Metazoa; Chordata; Mammalia; Rodentia; Cricetidae. The record is from Ensembl.